RNAcentral lists this ribosomal RNA (367 nucleotides) under uncultured bacterium. RNAcentral describes it as "bacterial SSU rRNA". It matches the Rfam family "Bacterial small subunit ribosomal RNA", at positions 28 to 396 of the family's 1533-position model. The record is from RNAcentral.
GACGAACGCUGGCGGCGUGCUUAACACAUGCAAGUCGAGCGGUAAGGCCCUUUCGGGGGUACACGAGCGGCGAACGGGUGAGUAACACGUGGGUGACCUGCCCUUAGCUCUGGGAUAAGCCUGGGAAACGUGGGUCUAAUACCGGAUAUGACUCCAUGACGCAUGUUGUGGGGUGGAAAGCCUUGUGCGGCUAGGGAUGGGCCCGCGGCCUAUCAGCUUGUUGGUGGGGUGAUGGCCACCAAGGCGACGACGGGUAGCCGGCCUGAGAGGGUGAUCGGCCACACUGGGACUGAGACACGGCCCAGACUCCUACGGGAGGCAGCAGUGGGGAAUCUUGCGCAAUGGGCGAAAGCCUGACGCAGCGACG